AAGACCACAAACUGGGCUGCUAACCCAACUUUAAUGAACCUCAUUUGGUCUU
This 52-nucleotide transfer RNA is filed under the name Ornithodoros rostratus. RNAcentral describes it as "tRNA-Ser". The record is from RNAcentral. Lineage: Eukaryota; Metazoa; Arthropoda; Arachnida; Ixodida; Argasidae.